RNAcentral lists this ribosomal RNA (497 nucleotides) under uncultured bacterium. RNAcentral's name for it is "partial 16S ribosomal RNA". It matches the Rfam family "Bacterial small subunit ribosomal RNA", at positions 28 to 507 of the family's 1533-position model. The record is from RNAcentral.
GAUGAACGCUGGCGGCGUGCCUAAUACAUGCAAGUCGAGCGAACAGACGAGGAGCUUGCUCCUCUGACGUUAGCGGCGGACGGGUGAGUAACACGUGGAUAACCUACCUAUAAGACUGGGAUAACUUCGGGAAACCGGAGCUAAUACCGGAUAAUAUAUUGAACCGCAUGGUUCAAUAGUGAAAGACGGUUUUGCUGUCACUUAUAGAUGGAUCCGCGCCGCAUUAGCUAGUUGGUAAGGUAACGGCUUACCAAGGCAACGAUGCGUAGCCGACCUGAGAGGGUGAUCGGCGAGACUGGAACUGAGGCACGCUCCAGAAUCCGACGAGAGGCAGAAGGAGGGAAUCGGCGGCAGUGGGGGAAAUCCUGGCGGAGCAAAGCCGUGUGAGUGGUGAAGAAAAUGGGAUCGUAAAACUCUGUUAGUAUUGAAGAACAAAUGUGUAAAAGACUAUGCACUCCGUGACGGGACCGACUCAGAAAGCCACGGCUCGCUACGUG